CGCGUAGGCUGUCCUGUAAGCGGUGUGUGAAAGCCCGGGGCUCAACCCCGGAACUGCAUACCGAACUGCAGGGCUAGAGAACGAGAGGGGACUAUGGAACUCUAGGUGGAGCGGUGAAAUGCGUAGAUAUCUAGAGGAACGCCGGUGGCGAAAGCGAUAGUAUGGCUCGUUUCUGACGCUGAGGCGCGAAAGCGUGGGUAGCAAACAGGAUUAGAUACCCUGGUAGUCC
This 229-nucleotide ribosomal RNA is filed under the name uncultured bacterium. RNAcentral's name for it is "partial 16S ribosomal RNA". It matches the Rfam family "Bacterial small subunit ribosomal RNA", at positions 568 to 796 of the family's 1533-position model. The record is from RNAcentral.